Molecule: ribosomal RNA, 253 nt
Filed under: uncultured bacterium
Lineage: Bacteria
Description: partial 16S ribosomal RNA
Rfam family: Bacterial small subunit ribosomal RNA
Source: RNAcentral
GACGUAGGGUGCAAGCGUUGUCCGGAAUUAUUGGGCGUAAAGAGUUCGUAGGCGGUUACUUAAGUCUGGUGUUAAAGCCCGAUGCUCAACGUCGGCAUGGCAUUGGAAACUGGGUAGCUAGAGUGUGUCAGAGGUUACGGGAAUUCCUGGUGUAGCGGUGAAAUGCGUAGAUAUCAGGAGGAACACCUGUGGCGAAAGCGCGUAACUGGGGCAUAACUGACGCUGAGGAACGAAAGCCAGGGUAUCCAAAGGG